This 520-nucleotide ribosomal RNA is filed under the name uncultured archaeon. RNAcentral describes it as "bacterial SSU rRNA". It matches the Rfam family "Archaeal small subunit ribosomal RNA", at positions 348 to 832 of the family's 1478-position model. The record is from RNAcentral.
CCCCCCAAAACGAAAGUGUGAUAGGGGUUACCCAAAGUGUUCUCUUAAGAACUGUGGCAGGUGAGUAAUGUCCCCCUUUAAAAAGGAGAGGGCAAGGCUGGUGCCAGCCGCCGCCCUUUAACCAGCUCUUCAAGUGGUCGGGAUAAUUAUUGGGCUUAAAGUGUCCGUAGCCGGUUUAGUAAGUUCCUGGUAAAAUCGGGUAGCUUAACUAUCUGCAUGCUAGGAAUACUGCCAUACUAGAGGGCGGGAGAGGUCUGAGGUACUACAGGGGUAGGGGUGAAAUCUUAUAAUCCUUGUAGGACCACCAGUGGCGAAGGCGUCAGACUGGAACGCGCCUGACGGUGAGGGACGAAAGCCAGGGGAGCGAACCGGAUUAGAUACGUCGGUGCUAGAACAAUAAAAAAACUAACACCACGCUAAAAACCCGGGUAGUCCUGGCCGUAAACGAUGCAUACUAGGUGAUGGUACGGCCAUGAGCCGUAUCAGUGCCGUAGGGAAACCGUUAAGUGUGCCGCCUGGG